Molecule: long non-coding RNA, 530 nt
Filed under: Salmo salar (Atlantic salmon)
Lineage: Eukaryota; Metazoa; Chordata; Actinopteri; Salmoniformes; Salmonidae
Description: lncRNA (ENSSSAG00000097042.1)
Source: RNAcentral
GGAAGAGCGUGUGCUUGUUUGAAAUGGAAAAGUGUUGUGGUAGCUUUUGAUAAAGAAUAACAUCAAGACGAAGCAGCUGCUUUAUAAGUGGGAGAAGGACCCUCAGACCAAAUGCAAGUCCAAAAAAGGAUACAGCUGAUGUCAGUCCAGUGGCAGUGAUUCUGAUUAUGAGCCACGAGUGGCUAGGUGUCCAUCCCCCUCUGAAGCUGGUUCAUCCAGCUGGACCCCUGCUGUCUCCGGCUCCACACCUACCCGGCCAUCUAGUGUUGUGAAGUCAGUGACAAAGAAGCGGAGGUGGGGAAAAGGGAAACCUGCAGACAGAGGACCAGAGGGUCGUUGGCACUCUGUGUUAGAAGACGAUGUGGAACCAAUUCCACCCGUUUUCAGACCCAAAAGGCAGCCAGGCCCUCAACUUGACAUGACCGCAAAGUACAGCCCCCUUCAACUUUUCCAACUGUUUUUCACCUCGUCAGUUGUUGAUUCCCUGGUGUCGAACACCAAUAAGUACGGGGCUAAGAAGCAGGCAGGAA